CCUACGGGGGGCAGCAGUGGGGAAUAUUGGGCAAUGGGCGAAAGCCUGACCCAGCAACGCCGCGUGAAGGAAGAAGGCUUUCGGGUUGUAAACUUCUUUUGACAGGGAAGAGCAGAAGACGGUACCUGUCGAAUAAGCCACGGCUAACUACGUGCCAGCAGCCGCGGUAAUACGUAGGUGGCAAGCGUUGUCCGGAUGUACUGGGUGUAAAGGGCGUGUAGCCGGGCUGACAAGUCAGAUGUGAAAGCCGGGGGCUCAACCCCCGAACUGCAUUUGAAACUGUUGGUCUUGAGUAUAGGAGAGGCAGGCGGAAUUCCUGGUGUAGCGGUGAAAUGCGUAGAUAUUAGGAGGAACACCAGUGGCGAAGGCGGUCUGCUGGACAGCAACUGACGGUGAGGCGCGAAAGCGUGGGGAGCAAACAGGAUUAGAUACCCCUGUAGUC
This 442-nucleotide ribosomal RNA is filed under the name uncultured bacterium. RNAcentral describes it as "partial 16S ribosomal RNA". It matches the Rfam family "Bacterial small subunit ribosomal RNA", at positions 338 to 795 of the family's 1533-position model. The record is from RNAcentral.